This 63-nucleotide transfer RNA is filed under the name Hygia sp. Its description in RNAcentral is "tRNA-Arg". Lineage: Eukaryota; Metazoa; Arthropoda; Insecta; Hemiptera; Coreidae. The record is from RNAcentral.
AAAUAAUGAAGUAAAAUUUACAUUUAGUUUCGACCUAAAAUCAGAGAUAAUUCUCCUUAUUUA